This 301-nucleotide ribosomal RNA is filed under the name uncultured bacterium. Its description in RNAcentral is "partial 16S ribosomal RNA". It matches the Rfam family "Bacterial small subunit ribosomal RNA", at positions 509 to 807 of the family's 1533-position model. The record is from RNAcentral.
CAGCCGCCGCGGUAAUACGGAGGGAGCUAGCGUUGUUCGGAAUUACUGGGCGUAAAGCGCGCGUAGGCGGUUACUCAAGUCAGAGGUGAAAGCCCGGGGCUCAACCCCGGAACUGCCUUUGAAACUAGGUGACUAGAAUCUUGGAGAGGUCAGUGGAAUUCCGAGUGUAGAGGUGAAAUUCGUAGAUAUUCGGAAGAACACCAGUGGCGAAGGCGACUGACUGGACAAGUAUUGACGCUGAGGCACGAAAGCGUGGGGAGCAAACAGGAUUAGAUACCCCGGUAGUCCCUGUCUCUUAUAC